GGCUAAGUAACAUAAUGGUAGUGUAUGGAAUUGCAAAUUCUAUAGUAGUGUUCGAUUCCACUCUUAGCCU
This 70-nucleotide transfer RNA is filed under the name Eukaryota sp. BB2. RNAcentral's name for it is "tRNA-Cys". It matches the Rfam family "tRNA". Rfam says of the family: Transfer RNA (tRNA) molecules are approximately 80 nucleotides in length. Their secondary structure includes four short double-helical elements and three loops (D, anti-codon, and T loops). The record is from RNAcentral.